CCCUUAGAUGUCCUGGGCCGCACGCGCGCUACACUGAACGGAUCAGCGCGUUUUCCCUUCCCGAGAGGGACGGGUAACCUGCUGAACCCCGUUCGUGGUAGGGAUCGGGGCUUGCAAUUAUUCCCCGUGAACCAGGAAUGCACAGUAAGUGCAAGUCAUAAGCUUGCGUUGAUUACGUCCCUGCCCUUUGUACACACCGCCCGUCGCUACUACCGAUUGAACGUUUUAGUGAGGUACUCGGACUGAGCCUCAGAAGAUUCACGUCUUUUGUGCUGCUCGGGAAGAUUCCCAAACUUGAGCGUUUAGAGGAAGUAAAAGUCGUAACA
RNAcentral lists this ribosomal RNA (326 nucleotides) under uncultured eukaryote. RNAcentral's name for it is "partial 18S ribosomal RNA". It matches the Rfam family "Eukaryotic small subunit ribosomal RNA", at positions 1470 to 1796 of the family's 1831-position model. The record is from RNAcentral.